Telopea speciosissima is the source of this 232-nucleotide long non-coding RNA. RefSeq lists it as uncharacterized. Lineage: Eukaryota; Viridiplantae; Streptophyta; Magnoliopsida; Proteales; Proteaceae. The record is from RefSeq and is a predicted model, not a curated record. The transcript has 3 exons.
CACUAAUUAAGGCAAGGGUUCUCUGUAGACUUAGUCCCUUAUAUGUUUAUUAUAGUUGCGAUAAUUUUCGCAAAUCUUUUCAGGUCUCUAUACUCAACAUCGUUGUUAUCUACUCAAGAAACCCACAUACCCAUUUAUUCACUUCCAUAAGAUCUUUUUGACCAUUUUAUGGAUAUUAUAUGAUUAUAUCUGCCAUUAACAGAGUUAAGGAUUGUAAUUGCUCCAGUGUUCC